AUCACAAUUUUUCAUUUUAUUUUUUCAGGCAUGCUUCACAGAAACUUUUUGGUGCCUAGAUCCAGAUAUCACUGUCUAAUCUGCCAAAUGUCAAUUUACAAGUUAACAAAGCGAGUUGCUGUGUUUUUCCUCACAUUAAUCUAGAAAGAUAAAGGAUAGAAUAAGACCAUUGUUUUAAAAUUAACAUUUGUAUAUUGGGGUCAAAACAAAGUGUUCUGGCCCCUUUAACACAGGUUAUUUAGAACUAGCCCUGAAACUUUUAUUUGCACUAAUAGAAUCAUAAAAUGUGUAAAAACAUGGUUUUAUGAGCAUGGUUAUUUAGAUCAAUUGUCUUAUUUAUGUAUUUCAUAUUCAAAACAUUUGGUUUAAUCAAUUUUACAUUUUCAACUAACCAUUUUAGAAAGUUUGUAUAUACAAUAAAUGCAGAAAUAAUUUUAAAGGAAAAUUUCAAAAGGCUCAUAGAAGCACAAUUGUGCAUGCGAUUAAAAGUGUAUGUUACCCCCAAAGGAAUUUAGAAUUGAUGAAGCUCUAUGACCAUAUAGAGUAAUUCUAAAGAAUAAAGUUCUAUGGAAUACAAACUUCUUCUCUAGACCCUUUUGUAUUUAGAUAUCUCAUAGAGAAUUUGGAA
Molecule: long non-coding RNA, 628 nt
Filed under: Bos taurus (domestic cattle)
Lineage: Eukaryota; Metazoa; Chordata; Mammalia; Artiodactyla; Bovidae
Description: long non-coding RNA NONBTAT000191
Source: RNAcentral